AUUGAAACACCGAUUCCCGUACGGACACGGAAGUUAAGCAACGUCGAACCUGGUCAGUACCUACACGGGUGACCGCUUAGGAAUACCAAGAGGUGUAA
Molecule: non-coding RNA, 98 nt
Organism: Acanthosepion pharaonis
Lineage: Eukaryota; Metazoa; Mollusca; Cephalopoda; Sepiida; Sepiidae
Source: the annotation of a GenBank genome assembly